UACGGGAAGGGCAAGCGUUAUUCGGCAUGACUGGGCGUAAAGAGUCCGUAGGCUGUAAAGUAAGUUCUUUGUCGAAUUUUAAGACCUAAUCUUAAACUAGCAAUUAAUACUGCUUUACUUUGAGUUUAAUACAGAAAAGUAGAAUUUUAUACGACAGGGGUGAAAUCCGUAGAUAUAUAAAGGAAUGCCAACAGCGAAGGCAACUUUUUAGUAUAAACUGACGCUGAGGGACGAAAGCGUGGGUAGCAAACAGG
This 254-nucleotide ribosomal RNA is filed under the name uncultured bacterium. RNAcentral's name for it is "partial 16S ribosomal RNA". It matches the Rfam family "Bacterial small subunit ribosomal RNA", at positions 524 to 776 of the family's 1533-position model. The record is from RNAcentral.